Molecule: long non-coding RNA, 791 nt
Organism: Lycium barbarum (goji berry)
Lineage: Eukaryota; Viridiplantae; Streptophyta; Magnoliopsida; Solanales; Solanaceae
Exons: 4
Source: RefSeq, a predicted model, not a curated record
AUAGUUGGUCGUUAAAAAAAUACAAAUCCCGUCGUUUAAUAAAUUAAUUGGCGGUACCUUUUCCCUCUUUUCCCCUAACCCCACUACCUCCUCUAAAAAAGAAACCAUUACCCUUCUUUCAAAAAAUACUUCUUCCCUAGAAACUACUGUCUGCUCUCAUCCAGAGCUUGCAAUUGCUGUCAAGAGUAAAUUUCUGGGAGAAGAAAUAACUAAUCGUCACCCACGUCGGCAUCAAUUUCUCAUCUUAGAUUUCCUCAUCAAGGACCUGCGUGCCCAUUUUGGGUAAAGCAAUUAAUGCUUUACCCUCUCUCCAUCGAUACACCGCCCAAACAAGCUGAGUUCGGGGGGAAGCAUAAGACUUCAAUUUCAUUCUCAACAAAGGCUGCACCAAAAAGAGGUACAAGGAGACAGACAGGUGGUCCAGCUCAGUAGGACCUCUAGAUCUAGCAGUGGUCAGUACGCUCCAUUCAAUCCGGAGCUAUAGUUAGUUUUGGUAUGCCCCUUUUGAGACGUGUAUGCAUAUGGGUAUGACGGGGCCCUGUCCCAUCCUUCCUACAGCUUUUCUUCCAGUAGAGUUCUGUAGACAGUUGUAUGUAGUAGUCACAUGAUGUAGCCUUGUGGGCUUCUAUUCUUUUGUGUACAGUAUAUGUAGCAGCCUAGCCGGCUCGCACUGUUCUUCCGCAUGUUGUGUAUAUAUAUAUAUAUAUAUAUAUAUAUAUAUAUACGCAGAUUGUACAGAGCUCUGAUGUUCCCUCUUAUGAAAUCAAUUUAUGCCAUAUAUGGGAUUUUGA